UCCGUAGGUGAACCUGCGGAAGGAUCAUUAUUGAAUAAAUCUGGCGUAGGUUGUAGCUGGCUCUCCGGAGCAUGUGCACACCUCGUCACCUUUAUCUUUCCACCUGUGCACACACUGUAGUCCUGGAUACCUCUCGCUGAAAGGCGGAUGCGGAGGCUGCUGUUGCCUUUAAAAUGGCUCAGCUUCCUCUGAAUUUCCAGGUCUAUGCCCCUUUAAAACACCCCAAACGAAUGUUACAGAAUGUAAUCAAUGGGCCUUUGUGCCUAUAAACCUAAUACAACUUUCAACAACGGAUCUCUUGGCUCUCGCAUCGAUGAAGAACGCAGCGAAAUGCGAUAAGUAAUGUGAAUUGCAGAAUUCAGUGAAUCAUCGAAUCUUUGAACGCACCUUGCGCUCCUUGGUAUUCCGAGGAGCAUGCCUGUUUGAGUGUCAUUAAAUUCUCAACCUCACCCAUUUUGUCAUGAAGUGUGUGUGUAGGCUUGGAUGUGGAGGCUUGCAGGUCCGGCUCUCUGAGUUGGUCUGCUCCUCUGAAAUGCAUUAGUGGGUUGUGCCCCUCAUCUAUUGGUGUGAUAAUUAUCUACGCCGUGGAUCAGUGUUGGCAACAAUGUGACCUGCUUCUAACCGUCCGACUCGGACAACUUGACAUUUUGACCUCAAAUCAGGUA
RNAcentral lists this ribosomal RNA (665 nucleotides) under uncultured Coprinopsis. RNAcentral describes it as "eukaryotic LSU rRNA". The stretch from base 279 to 432 matches the Rfam family "5.8S ribosomal RNA". The record is from RNAcentral. Lineage: Eukaryota; Fungi; Basidiomycota; Agaricomycetes; Agaricales; Psathyrellaceae.